Molecule: ribosomal RNA, 484 nt
Filed under: uncultured bacterium
Lineage: Bacteria
Description: partial 16S ribosomal RNA
Rfam family: Bacterial small subunit ribosomal RNA
Source: RNAcentral
AUUGAACGCUGGCGGCAGGCCUAACACAUGCAAGUCGAGCGGAUGAAGGGAGCUUGCUCCUGGAUUCAGCGGCGGACGGGUGAGUAAUGCCUAGGAAUCUGCCUGGUAGUGGGGGAUAACGUCCGGAAACGGGCGCUAAUACCGCAUACGUCCUGAGGGAGAAAGUGGGGGAUCUUCGGACCUCACGCUAUCAGAUGAGCCUAGGUCGGAUUAGCUAGUUGGUGGGGUAAAGGCCUACCAAGGCGACGAUCCGUAACUGGUCUGAGAGGAUGAUCAGUCACGCUGGAACUGAGACACGGUCCAGACUCCUACGGGAGGCAGCAGUGGGGAAUAUUGGACAAUGGGCGAAAGCCUGAUCCAGCCAUGCCGCGUGUGUGAAGAAGGUCUUCGGAUUGUAAAGCACUUUAAGUUGGGAGGAAGGGCAGUAAGUUAGUACCUUGCUGUUUUGACGUUACCAACAGAAUAAGCACCGGCUAACUUCGUG